AGAGCUCACCCACAUCAUGAUCGGCCUGGAGAGCUGCUCCUUCCUGGAAGACGACUUCAUCCCAUUUGCAGUGCUCAACAUGAUGAUGGGUGGAGGUGGCUCCUUCUCUGCAGGAGGACCUGGGAAAGGCAUGUUCACCCGCCUGUACCUCAACGUGCUCAACAGGCAUCAUUGGAUGUACAAUGCCACCUCCUAUCACC
Molecule: long non-coding RNA, 200 nt
Organism: Morone saxatilis (striped sea-bass)
Lineage: Eukaryota; Metazoa; Chordata; Actinopteri; Moronidae
Exons: 3
Source: RefSeq, a predicted model, not a curated record